Molecule: long non-coding RNA, 397 nt
Organism: Benincasa hispida (wax gourd)
Lineage: Eukaryota; Viridiplantae; Streptophyta; Magnoliopsida; Cucurbitales; Cucurbitaceae
Source: RefSeq, a predicted model, not a curated record
UUUAGGACUUCAAGUCGUCACUUGUUGCACUCACUUUUACUGUGAUUUUUAACUACCUUUCAUUUAGCAUUAAAUUAUCCGGUGUAUAUUAUGGCACUAAACUGAACUACCCAUUCGAGCAGCUGAAUUCUGAUGCUUCAGUUCCUUCAUUGAAGAAAAACUCGUCAAACUUUGAUGGAUCGGAACCCAAAGUGGAUAAUAGAGUAAAAGUGAGGAUGCAAUCUUCCUUAGAAAUGCAGAUCUUCAAGGACCGAUGGACUGAGGCCGCAAAGAAGGAUAGAUGUUGGAUCGACCCGUAUAGGUAAUUACAAAAGUCAACCAACGCAACGUUAUUGUGAUAGUUAUAUUUUCAUAUUAACGAAAUAAAGCUGGAAGUGAAGGUGUUCCAGUCUCCAUU